UAAACGACUCUCGGCAACGGAUAUCUCGGCUCACGCAUCGAUGAAGAACGUAGCAAAAUGCGAUACUUGGUGUGAAUUGCAGAAUCCCGUGAACCAUCGAGUUUUUGAACGCAAGUUGCGCCCGAAGCCAUCUGGUCGAGGGCACGUCUGCCUGGGCGUCACGU
This 164-nucleotide ribosomal RNA is filed under the name Pectis barberi. RNAcentral's name for it is "5.8S ribosomal RNA". It matches the Rfam family "5.8S ribosomal RNA". Rfam says of the family: 5.8S ribosomal RNA (5.8S rRNA) is a component of the large subunit of the eukaryotic ribosome. It is transcribed by RNA polymerase I as part of the 45S precursor that also contains 18S and 28S rRNA. The record is from RNAcentral. Lineage: Eukaryota; Viridiplantae; Streptophyta; Magnoliopsida; Asterales; Asteraceae.